This 207-nucleotide ribosomal RNA is filed under the name uncultured bacterium. RNAcentral describes it as "partial 16S ribosomal RNA". It matches the Rfam family "Bacterial small subunit ribosomal RNA", at positions 568 to 774 of the family's 1533-position model. The record is from RNAcentral.
CGCGUAGGUGGUUUGUUAAGCGAGAUGUGAAAGCCCCGGGCUUAACCUGGGAACGGCAUUUCGAACUGGCAGGCUAGAGUGUGGUAGAGGGUAGUGGAAUUUCCUGUGUAGCGGUGAGAUGCGUAGAUAUAGGAAGGAACACCAGUGGCGAAGGCGGCUACCUGGACCAACACUGACACUGAGGUGCGAAAGCGUGGGGAGCAAACA